GCCGAAGUGGCGGAACUGGCAGACGCAGCGGACUCAAAAUCCGCCGGUGGCAACACCGUAAGGGUUCGACUCCCUUCUUCGGCA
This 84-nucleotide transfer RNA is filed under the name Desulfocucumis palustris. It matches the Rfam family "tRNA". Rfam says of the family: Transfer RNA (tRNA) molecules are approximately 80 nucleotides in length. Their secondary structure includes four short double-helical elements and three loops (D, anti-codon, and T loops). The record is from Rfam by way of RNAcentral. Lineage: Bacteria; Bacillati; Bacillota; Clostridia; Eubacteriales; Desulfocucumaceae.